RNAcentral lists this ribosomal RNA (433 nucleotides) under uncultured bacterium. RNAcentral describes it as "partial 16S ribosomal RNA". It matches the Rfam family "Bacterial small subunit ribosomal RNA", at positions 29 to 507 of the family's 1533-position model. The record is from RNAcentral.
AACGAACGCUGGCGGCAUGCCUAACACAUGCAAGUCGAACGAGACCUUCGGGUCUAGUGGCGCACGGGUGCGUAACGCGUGGGAACCUGCCCUUAGGUUCGGAAUAACUCCCCGAAAGGGGUGCUAAUACCGGAUAAUGUCUUCGGACCAAAGAUUUAUCGCCUUUGGAUGGGCCCGCGUUGGAUUAGCUAGUUGGUAGGGUAAAAGCCUACCAAGGCGACGAUCCAUAGCUGGUCUGAGAGGAUGGUCAGCCACACUGGGACUGAGACACGGCUCAGACUCCUACGGGAGGCAGCAGUGGGGAAUAUUGGACAAUGGGCGAAAGCCUGAUCCAGCAAUGCCGCGUGAGUGAUGAAGGCCUUAGGGUUGUAAAGCUCUUUUACCCGGGAUGAUAAUGACAAUACCGGGAGAAUAAGCUCCGGCUAACUCCGUG